Molecule: long non-coding RNA, 1238 nt
Organism: Nycticebus coucang (slow loris)
Lineage: Eukaryota; Metazoa; Chordata; Mammalia; Primates; Lorisidae
Exons: 3
Source: RefSeq, a predicted model, not a curated record
UAACAUGGCGACUCAAGUCAGCUUUAACCAUCAAAACAUGAAGAGGCCAAUGUGGCUGAAGGCAAAGUCUCACUUUACCGCCCUUGGUAGAGUGCCGUGACGUCACAGGACUCACGCAACCUCCAGCUCUAGGGCUUCCGCGAUUCUCCUGCUUCAGCAUUCCGAGAAGCUGCGACUACAGGCUCCCGCCACAACGCCCAGUUCGGCUGGGGCUGGGUUUGAACCCGCCACCCUCGGUAUAUGGGGCCGGCGCCCUACUCACUGAGCCACAGGCGCCACCCUAUGUGACAAGGUUUUAAAGGCUCACUCUGGUUGCUGUGUAGACAAUAGAUUACCUGAAAGCAGGGAGGAAGUCCACUACUUAAGAAGCACAAUUGCGCAAGACACUCCAAACUCCUGGAUCUAGACAGCCCUGUCUCAAAAAACAAAAAUUAUAUUUUACUGCUUGAUCAGAGACCUUCUUAAGUAUAACUGACUUAAAUUAUUAUUAUUUUUGUUAUUUAUUUAUUAUUUUUAUUUAUUUAUUUUUUUUGUAGAGACAGAGUCUCACUAUACUGCCCUCGGGUAGAGUGCCGUGGCGUCACACGGCUCACAGCAACCUCCAACUCUUGGGCUUACGCGAUUCUCUUGCCUCAGCCUCCCAAGCAGCUGGGACUACAGGCGCCCGCCACAACGCCUGGCUAUUUUUUGUUGCAGUUGGCCGGGGCUGGGUUUGAACCCGCCACCCUCGGCAUAUGGGACCGGCAGAGGCUCACUAUGUUGCCCUCGGUAGAGUGCAGUGGCGUCACAGCUCACAGCAGCGUCAAACUCUUGGGCUUAAGCGAUUCUCUUGCCUGAACCUCCCAAGUAGCUGGGACUACAGGCGUCUGCCACAACGCCUGGUUAUUUUUUUGUUGUAGUUGUCAUUGUUUAACAGGCUUGGGCCAGGUUCGAACCCACCAGCCUCAGUGUAUGUGGCCAGCGCCCUAACCACUGAGCUAUGGGUGAUGAGCCUAUUAUUGGUUAUUGAGCCAGGGUGGUGCUCUGUUGCUCAGGAUGGAGUGCAAUGGUAUCAUCAGAGCUCUCUGCAACCUUCAACUUCUAUGCUUAAGAGAUCCUCCUGCCUCAGCCUUCUUAAGGAUUCCUGGGUGAAUGACAAGAUGUGAGCUGAUCCGGCCUCAGACCAUGGCCCAAAUUCUCAGGACAGAAUCAAUAACAGGAUCAGAAAACCUGUGAAAAGUCUUCUCAUCAUCUAACCA